GGACUACCGGGGUUUCUAAUCCUGUUUGAUCCCCGCACUUUCGAGCCUCAGUGUCAGUUAUAGUUUUGUGAGCUGCCUUCGCAAUCGGUGUUCUAUGACAUCUCUAAGUAUUUCACCACUACAUGUCAUAUUCCGCCCACAGCAACUAUACUCAAGCCCUACAGUAUCAAUGGCAAUUCUGUUGUUAAGCAACAGGCUUUCACCACUGACUUAUAAGGCCACCUACGCUCCCUUUAAACCCAAUAAAUCCGGAUAACGCUUGCAUCCUUCGUCUUACCGCGGCUGCUGGCAC
Molecule: ribosomal RNA, 292 nt
Filed under: uncultured bacterium
Lineage: Bacteria
Description: partial 16S ribosomal RNA
Source: RNAcentral